GCCUACGGGGCGCAGCAGUGGGGAAUAUUGCACAAUGGGGGAAACCCUGAUGCAGCGACGCCGCGUGAGUGAAGAAGUAUUUCGGUAUGUAAAGCUCUAUCAGCAGGGAAGAAAUACUGACCUUACGGUCAGCAGACGGUACCUGACUAAGAAGCCCCGGCUAACUACGUGCCAGCAGCCGCGGUAAUACGUAGGGGGCAAGCGUUAUCCGGAUUUACUGGGUGUAAAGGGAGCGUAGACGGCAGCGCAAGUCUGAAGUGAAAUCCCAUGGCUUAACCAUGGAACUGUUUUGGAAACUGUGCAGC
RNAcentral lists this ribosomal RNA (305 nucleotides) under uncultured bacterium. Its description in RNAcentral is "bacterial SSU rRNA". It matches the Rfam family "Bacterial small subunit ribosomal RNA", at positions 337 to 641 of the family's 1533-position model. The record is from RNAcentral.